Molecule: long non-coding RNA, 1318 nt
Organism: Solanum stenotomum
Lineage: Eukaryota; Viridiplantae; Streptophyta; Magnoliopsida; Solanales; Solanaceae
Exons: 2
Source: RefSeq, a predicted model, not a curated record
ACCAGAAAAAGAGAUAUGGAGUAAUUUUGACACAGACAGAGAGAAGCUGAAAAUAAAAGGUUGAUUUUUUGGGAAAAUCCAAAAUUUAUGUUCAACUUGGCAAUUUCGUCUUACACUCUUACUUCCGUGUGAAUGCUUCUUGACAGAUCUGCCAAAGGUGGGAUUUUGUAUACUUACAAUUUGUUCUUUCUUUUGGAAAUUUCUUCUUCUUUUUCUACAUAUUGUAGAUUCUAGAGAAAAUGAAGCUCUGUUUUGAAGGGGGGUUUGUUUAUUCUGUUAUUUGGAAUUUAUGGCAGCUGAAAGAAACGCUUGCAUUCAAUUUGAAGCUAAUUUCAGUUUUUAAUUGAACUGAUGAAAAUUGAUUAAGGAAAGAUCUUGAUAAAUUAUUUCUCUUCUGAAUAAUCUAAUUGCUGUUAGAUACAUGGACCAUUUUAUCUGGUUCAUGUAAUGAUGCAUUCUUUAUUUUUUUCUUUUUAAUGAAUAAGUAUAACAAAGACGUUGAGCUCAUCCCAGAGGUCACGAGCAGAGAGGUCCCUGACGGAUUCAUAAUCGGAUAUUAUGGCACCUCCACACAACUUUGUCACUGUCUUAUUUUUCUUCUUUUUUAGGUGAAGUGUUGGGUGAGUUUGGGAAGAUGUCAUUGAGGAAUAGCAACAAGAAAGUGAUGGAUGCCAUUCAAAAAAGAGGAAAAGGAAAAAAGAGUUGGUGAAAUGAAAAGUAAGAAAAAGAAAAUGAAUGUCCACCGCACCCAAAUGUCAGGCCAUGUGGACAACCAUUAAAAAGAGGGGUACUUCUGCAUACUUUGGUAACGACAGGGGCAUAUUUGGCCCUAUAGUAUAACUAGGGACAAACUUAGCUAACAAACGAAAGUAGAGAGGCAUUUUUUACCCUUUUUCCUAGUUUCAACUAUAGACCAUUUAAAAGGAAUGCCCCAAAUAACUGUGGCAAGCUCAAUAUGGGCUCUAUUAUCUUUCCCUUCAAACCACCUAGACUAAUUCCACAGGAUAUCUGUCAUCUCCCUCCAGCAACAUGUAUGUAGCAAAUAACUCUGUCCACCAAGAUUGGAACAAAUGGGAAGAAAUUACCAAGUGUUUAGUCUCUAAUGGGAAUUGAACACAAGACCUCAUGGUGCUCAAACCCACUUCAUUGACCACUACGCCACACCCUAGGGUGGUAGGUCAUACUUCAAUAUUAUUGUUUCUAUUUAUUACUUUUACAACACAAGGGUUCAAGGCUAUGUUGCUCAGACUCUCAAAAUUGCCAAUGGUGUGUGGCAGAAUCUCCAAAAGUAGUGUAUAUUUGGAGAAUCCAACACGGG